ACCUGCCUGGCUCAGUCGGGAGAGCAUGCGACUCUUGAUCUCAGGGCUGUGAGUUCAAGCCCCACGUUUGGUG
Molecule: transfer RNA, 73 nt
Filed under: Mustela putorius furo (domestic ferret)
Lineage: Eukaryota; Metazoa; Chordata; Mammalia; Carnivora; Mustelidae
Rfam family: tRNA
About the family: Transfer RNA (tRNA) molecules are approximately 80 nucleotides in length. Their secondary structure includes four short double-helical elements and three loops (D, anti-codon, and T loops).
Source: Rfam by way of RNAcentral